This 71-nucleotide transfer RNA is filed under the name Candidatus Daviesbacteria bacterium. RNAcentral's name for it is "tRNA-Met". It matches the Rfam family "tRNA". From Rfam's summary of the family: Transfer RNA (tRNA) molecules are approximately 80 nucleotides in length. Their secondary structure includes four short double-helical elements and three loops (D, anti-codon, and T loops). Further hydrogen bonds mediate the characteristic L-shaped molecular structure. tRNAs have two regions of fundamental functional importance: the anti-codon, which is responsible for specific mRNA codon recognition, and the 3' end, to which the tRNAs corresponding amino acid is attached (by aminoacyl-tRNA synthetases). tRNAs cope with the degeneracy of the genetic code in two manners: having more than one tRNA (with a specific anti-codon) for a particular amino acid; and 'wobble' base-pairing, i.e. permitting non-standard base-pairing at the 3rd anti-codon position. The record is from RNAcentral. Lineage: Bacteria; Candidatus Daviesiibacteriota.
GGCAGUGUAGUUUAACGGUAAAACAGUGCCCUCAUAAAGCACGAACGGAGGUCCGACUCCUCCCAUUGCCA